GUAGAUGGAACGAAAGCUAAGAACGCAGCUUCCGGCUGCAACACUUUUGUGGCCCACAUCGUGUGGG
This 67-nucleotide small RNA is filed under the name Domibacillus iocasae. RNAcentral's name for it is "Bacillaceae-1 RNA". It matches the Rfam family "Bacillaceae-1 RNA". The record is from Rfam by way of RNAcentral. Lineage: Bacteria; Bacillati; Bacillota; Bacilli; Caryophanales; Bacillaceae.